RNAcentral lists this ribosomal RNA (136 nucleotides) under Pteropus vampyrus (large flying fox). The record is from RNAcentral. Lineage: Eukaryota; Metazoa; Chordata; Mammalia; Chiroptera; Pteropodidae.
GUCAUCAGCAGAACAAUAAGAAGAGCAGGUGUUCAGUAAUUAAAAGUUUGCCCUGCUGAUCUCGGAAGCUAAGUAGGGUGGGGCCUGGUUAGUACUUGAAUGGGAGACCACCUAGGAAUACCGGGUGCUGUAGGCG